RNAcentral lists this ribosomal RNA (490 nucleotides) under uncultured bacterium. RNAcentral's name for it is "partial 16S ribosomal RNA". It matches the Rfam family "Bacterial small subunit ribosomal RNA", at positions 28 to 507 of the family's 1533-position model. The record is from RNAcentral.
GAUGAACGCUAGCUACAGGCUUAACACAUGCAAGUCGCGGGGCAGCAUGGGGGUUGCUUGCAAUCCCCGAUGGCGACCGGCGCACGGGUGAGUAACGCGUAUCCAACCUGCCCUUCACCACGGGAUAACCCGGCGAAAGUCGGACUAAUACCGUAUGUUGUCCAUUGACGGCAUCCGAUUUGGACGAAAGGUUUGGCGGUGAAGGAUGGGGAUGCGUCCGAUUAGCCGGACGGCGGGGUGACGGCCCACCGUGGCGACGAUCGGUAGGGGUUCUGAGAGGAAGGUCCCCCACACUGGAACUGAGACACGGUCCAGACUCCUACGGGAGGCAGCAGUGAGGAAUAUUGGUCAAUGGGCGUAAGCCUGAACCAGCCAAGUAGCGUGCAGGAUGACGGCCCUAUGGGUUGUAAACUGCUUUUAUGCGGGGAUAAAGUGGCCCACGUGUGGGUUUUUGCAGGUACCGCAUGAAUAAGGACCGGCUAAUUCCGUG